AAAACCCUAGCCCUAGCUCCAGCUAACUCCCAGCCGCCCCUUUUCCAUCACCCUCGUGUGUCGCGCGCUCCCCGGUCGCCUCCGGUCGACCAACCACCUCCUCAGCCACCAUCUCCCUCUCACAUUGCCACUAACUCAUCUUUCUCUCUGCUCGAGAGCUUGGCAGGUGAUCCCUCACCCUUGGGCUCUCCUCCGGUGACCCCCCAGACCUCCAGCAACCUCUUCCGGCCCGCCACAGCCGCCCCCGAGCUUCGCCGCCGUGAAUCCUACAGCAUACAGCCAGC
Molecule: long non-coding RNA, 284 nt
Filed under: Ananas comosus (pineapple)
Lineage: Eukaryota; Viridiplantae; Streptophyta; Magnoliopsida; Poales; Bromeliaceae
Description: long non-coding RNA (ACOM_LNC001131)
Source: RNAcentral